This 250-nucleotide ribosomal RNA is filed under the name uncultured prokaryote. RNAcentral's name for it is "partial 16S rRNA". It matches the Rfam family "Bacterial small subunit ribosomal RNA", at positions 525 to 775 of the family's 1533-position model. The record is from RNAcentral.
ACGUAGGGUGCAAGCGUUGUCCGGAAUUACUGGGUGUAAAGGGACCGCAGGCGGCUCUUUAAGUUGAGAGUUAAAUCUACGGGCUUAACCCGGAUCAGCGUUUAAAACUGGGGAGAUUGAGUGGAGUAGAGGGAGGUGGAAUUCCAGGUGGAGCGGUGGAAUGCGUAGAUAUCUGGAGGAACACCAGUGGCGAAGGCGGCCUGCUGGGCUAUAACUGACGCUGAUGGUCGAAAGCAUGGGUAGCAAACAG